Molecule: long non-coding RNA, 400 nt
Organism: Tupaia belangeri chinensis (Chinese tree shrew)
Lineage: Eukaryota; Metazoa; Chordata; Mammalia; Scandentia; Tupaiidae
Exons: 3
Source: RefSeq, a predicted model, not a curated record
UCUGGGAAGGAAGACACAGAAGAGACAACUUGAGGUCAGCAAGCUAACCGAAGGCUAUGUGGAAGGUGAUCCUUCGUUGGCCCCAGGAUGUUCGGUUACAGUACACGGCUAAGAAUGGAGACACCUGCUACUGACCAGAAAUUCUCUGACUCAAUCUGCUUUACAAAUAAAAUCCUCUUGGUCAAAAUAUUCCAUUUAUCUAACACUUUCCAGCUUACAAGAUUCUCAGUGCUACCACCACCCCAGUUUUGCAGGUGAGGAAAUCAAAACUCAGAGUAGAGCUCAAGGUAACCUUGUGAUCCUGAACAAGGAGUCUCUUAAGAGUCAUCGAACUAUGGCCCAACAGUCAAAUCUAGCCCACCCUAUACUUUUAUAAAUAAAAUUUUAUUGGCAUACGACC